This 98-nucleotide ribosomal RNA is filed under the name Mycobacterium intracellulare. Its description in RNAcentral is "partial 16S ribosomal RNA". Lineage: Bacteria; Bacillati; Actinomycetota; Actinomycetes; Mycobacteriales; Mycobacteriaceae. The record is from RNAcentral.
AACGGGUGAGUAACACGUGGCAAUCUGCCCUGCACUUCGGGAUAAGCCUGGGAAACUGGGUCUAAUACCGGAUAGGACCUUUAAGACGCAUGUCUUUU